RNAcentral lists this ribosomal RNA (468 nucleotides) under uncultured bacterium. Its description in RNAcentral is "bacterial SSU rRNA". It matches the Rfam family "Bacterial small subunit ribosomal RNA", at positions 328 to 793 of the family's 1533-position model. The record is from RNAcentral.
UUGCCAGACUCCUACGGGAGGCAGCAGUGAGGAAUAUUGGUCAAUGGCCGAGAGGCUGAACCAGCCAAGUCGCGUGAGGGAAGACGGCCCUACGGGUUGUAAACCUCUUUUGUCGGGGAGCAAAGCGAGUCACGUGUGACUCAUUGAGAGUACCCGAAGAAAAAGCAUCGGCUAACUCCGUGCCAGCAGCCGCGGUAAUACGGAGGAUUCAAGCGUUAUCCGGAUUUAUUGGGUUUAAAGGGUGCGUAGGCGGUCGGAUAAGUUAGAGGUGAAAUCCCGAGGCUCAACUUCGGAAUUGCCUCUGAUACUGUUCGGCUAGAGAGUAGUUGCGGUAGGCGGAAUGUAUGGUGUAGCGGUGAAAUGAUUAGAGAUCAUACAGAACACCGAUUGCGAAGGCAGCUUACCAAGCUACUUCUGACGUUGAGGCACGAAAGCGUGGGGAGCAAACAGGAUUAGAUACCCGCGUAC